AAAAGAAGUUCAUUACUAUUGAAAAGCCAAUGAUAGGAUCUCAUGCACAAUCCCACACAGACAAAGUUUGUAAUGCUGAUAUAUUGAUGAGAAAUAAGACCCAGAAGAGUUCAGAGGAAAUUCAAACUCACUAUAUAUGCUAGAGUGGAAGUAAAAGUACAACAUUUGCACUCAAAGCACACUAUAUCCCAUAAUUUUCACUAAAAGUCGUCUCAUCCGUCUUCCCAUUUAAUCACAUACUAAUUU
Molecule: unclassified non-coding RNA, 246 nt
Filed under: Hevea brasiliensis (rubber tree)
Lineage: Eukaryota; Viridiplantae; Streptophyta; Magnoliopsida; Malpighiales; Euphorbiaceae
Source: RNAcentral